Molecule: long non-coding RNA, 276 nt
Filed under: Nicotiana benthamiana
Lineage: Eukaryota; Viridiplantae; Streptophyta; Magnoliopsida; Solanales; Solanaceae
Description: long non-coding RNA (NBEN_LNC024262)
Source: RNAcentral
GAAAGUCUGAACGUGUAGUCGCCGGAAGUACUGUAGCUUGCCGGAAAUUCUCGCCGGAAAAAUAAGGCACCUGUCCAAGAAAACAGAACACACCCACACACAUCCACAAAAGCAGAAGAGAGAAUAGGAAGAAAAGAGCUGGGGUCGCCGGAAAAAUCGCCGGUGAAAAGCAAGAAUUCAAAAAACCUAGAAAACUCGAAACGAAACAAGCUACAGAUAGCCAAAUAAAGGCUAAAUCGGACAGACUUGUGGGAUGAGAAUAAAGAGCGGAAAAUU